RNAcentral lists this ribosomal RNA (497 nucleotides) under uncultured bacterium. RNAcentral's name for it is "partial 16S ribosomal RNA". It matches the Rfam family "Bacterial small subunit ribosomal RNA", at positions 28 to 507 of the family's 1533-position model. The record is from RNAcentral.
GAUGAACGCUGGCGGCGUGCCUAAUACAUGCAAGUCGAGCGAACAGACGAGGAGCUUGCUCCUCUGACGUUAGCGGCGGACGGGUGAGUAACACGUGGAUAACCUACCUAUAAGACUGGGAUAACUUCGGGAAACCGGAGCUAAUACCGGAUAAUAUAUUGAACCGCAUGGUUCAAUAGUGAAAGACGGUUUUGCUGUCACUUAUAGAUGGAUCCGCGCCGCAUUAGCUAGUUGGUAAGGUAACGGCUUACCAAGGCGAUGAUGCGUAGCCGACCUGAGAGGGUGAUCGGCCACACUGGAACUGAGACACGGUCCAGACUCCUACGGGAGGCAGCAGUAGGGAAUCUUCCGCAAUGGGCGAAAGCCUGACGGAGCAACGCCGCGUGAGUGAUGAAGGUCUUCGGAUCGUAAAACUCUGUUAUUAGGGAAGAACAAAUGUGUAAGUAACUAUGCACGUCGUGACGGUACCUAAUCAGAAAGCCACGGCUAACUACGUG